AAGACUCUCCUGAGGGAUGGGAAAUACCUAUUCAAAUAACUUCUCCUCAUUAGGGAAAGGUGGGAAAUCCUAGCUUACUUCCCACAUCCCAGCUUACUUCCCUAAUCAUUGGGCUAAAGGAUGGUAAUCACAUCCGAUUACUUAAAAUAAGCUGGGUAUCAGUCUGAUCAUUAGCUGGACAAGAAAUCUCCAGGGAGAAUACAGGUUCUGCAGCAGAGAUUGUAUUCUAGCUACUUGAAUCUAAAAUCAAGGAGUGGGGGCAUAAUUACUGCAGAUCCCAGAACAAGUAUGACACUCCAGAGAAGUACCACCCCCGAGGAUUCAUUGCAUAUACUGGUUCUGACCAGGUUCAAGAAGCACAGAAGAAGAAGAAAGAGUUUUUUGGUAUAAAGAGUCAGCCUGAACUAGCCCAAUUCCCUGAUUUUUUAAACUAAAAUUGACAUGAGAUUGUGACCAAGAAGGCAAAGCCCUUCUGGAAGGGUUUGAAGGACUGGGAACUGCCAGGAUCUCUAUAUG
Long non-coding RNA from Mauremys reevesii (Reeves's turtle), 516 nucleotides. RefSeq lists it as uncharacterized. The transcript has 3 exons. Lineage: Eukaryota; Metazoa; Chordata; Testudines; Geoemydidae. The record is from RefSeq and is a predicted model, not a curated record.